AUUGAACGCUGGCGGCAUGCUUUACACAUGCAAGUCGAACGGCAGCGCGGGCUUCGGCCUGGCGGCGAGUGGCGAACGGGUGAGUAAUGCAUCGGAACGUGCCCAGUAGUGGGGGAUAGCCCGGCGAAAGCCGGAUUAAUACCGCAUACGACCUGAGGGUGAAAGCGGGGGACCGAAAGGCCUCGCGCUAUUGGAGCGGCCGAUGUCGGAUUAGCUAGUUGGUGGGGUAAAGGCUUACCAAGGCGACGAUCCGUAGCUGGUCUGAGAGGACGACCAGCCACACUGGGACUGAGACACGGCCCAGACUCCUACGGGAGGCAGCAGUGGGGAAUUGUGGACAAAGGGGGGAACCCUGAUCCAGCCAUGCCGCGUGCGAGAAGAAGGCCUUCGGGUUGUAAACCGCUUUUGUUCGGGAAGAAAUCCUCUGGGCUAAUACCCCGGGGGGAUGACGGGACCGGAAGAAUAAGCACCGGGUAAAUACGUG
Molecule: ribosomal RNA, 484 nt
Filed under: uncultured bacterium
Lineage: Bacteria
Description: partial 16S ribosomal RNA
Rfam family: Bacterial small subunit ribosomal RNA
Source: RNAcentral